CGGACGGGUGAGUAAUGUCUGGGAAACUGCCUGAUGGAGGGGGGUAACUACUGGAAACGGUAGCUAAUACCGCAUAACGUCGCAAGACCAAAGAGGGGGACCUUAGGGCCUCUUGCCAUCGGAUGUGCCCAGAUGGGAUUAGCUAGUAGGUGGGGUAACGGCUCACCUAGGCGACGAUCCCUAGCUGGUCUGAGAGGAUGACCAACCACACUGGAACUGAGACACGGUCCAG
This 232-nucleotide ribosomal RNA is filed under the name uncultured bacterium. RNAcentral describes it as "partial 16S ribosomal RNA". It matches the Rfam family "Bacterial small subunit ribosomal RNA", at positions 99 to 334 of the family's 1533-position model. The record is from RNAcentral.